Molecule: ribosomal RNA, 476 nt
Filed under: uncultured bacterium
Lineage: Bacteria
Description: bacterial SSU rRNA
Rfam family: Bacterial small subunit ribosomal RNA
Source: RNAcentral
AACGAACGCUGGCGGCGUGCCUAACACAUGCAAGUCGAGCGAGAAAGUCCCUUCGGGGGCGAGUAAAGCGGCGGACGGGUGAGUAAUACAUGGAUAAUCUUCCCUCGAGCCUGGGAUAACCCUGCGAAAGUGGGGCUAAUACCGGAUAAGACCACAUGACACAUGUCACGGGGUAGAAGGUGGCUUGUAUUUAUAUGAGCUAUCACUUGAGGAUGAGUCCAUGGCCUAUCAGCUAGUUGGUGAGGUAAGAGCUUACCAAGGCUAUGACGGGUAGCUGGUCUGAGAGGACGACUAGCCACACUGGGACUGAGACACGGCCCAGACUCCUACGGGAGGCAGCAGUGGGGAAUAUUGCGCAAUGGGGGCAACCCUGACGCAGCAACGCCGCGUGAGUGAGGAAGGUUUUCGGACUGUAAAGCUCUGUCGAGCGGGAAGAAGUGUACCAUGGCUAAUAUCCAUGAUAUUUGACGGUACCG